RNAcentral lists this unclassified non-coding RNA (341 nucleotides) under soil metagenome. Its description in RNAcentral is "partial contains 5.8S ribosomal RNA, internal transcribed spacer 2, and large subunit ribosomal RNA". The stretch from base 1 to 120 matches the Rfam family "5.8S ribosomal RNA", at positions 35 to 154 of the family's 154-position model. The record is from RNAcentral.
GAUGAAGAACGUAGCGAAAUGCGAUAAGUAGUGUGAAUUGCAGAAUUCAGUGAAUCAUCGAAUCUUUGAACGCACAUUGCGGCCAUAGGUAUUCCUUUGGCCAUGCCUGUUCGAGCGUCAUUUACACCCUCAAGCCUAGCUUGGUGUUGGGCGCCUGUCCCGCCGUUUUCGCGCGCGGACUCGCCUCAAAGUCAUUGGCGGCGGUCGUGCCGGCCCCCUCGCGCAGCACAUUUGCGCUUCUCGGAGGCCCGGCGGAUCCGCGCUCCAGCAAGACCUUUCACGACUUGACCUCGGAUCAGGUAGGGAUACCCGCUGAACUUAAGCAUAUCAAAAGCGGAGGA